GUCUGAAAUAGCAAGUAUGGCUGAAUGAGAAGAGUGUCGACGAAGCUGCUGUGUUCAGAGGAGGAAGUUGUAGUGUAAUUUACUUUCCCGGUUUCCAUUUCUUUUUGGUGGCCGAUGAUGUGGAUGAAAUCAAUUGCUAAAGCCUACAAGUUGUCGUUUCUACUUUGACAUGUCUUCUUCUUUCCAAGUAAGUACAGGGAAAGAGACUUGAGAGAAAAAAUUGAGUGCAUGUUCGGCUAUUACAUUCCGAAUCCAUGGCAGAC
RNAcentral lists this long non-coding RNA (263 nucleotides) under Populus tremula. Its description in RNAcentral is "long non-coding RNA (PTRE_LNC001137)". The record is from RNAcentral. Lineage: Eukaryota; Viridiplantae; Streptophyta; Magnoliopsida; Malpighiales; Salicaceae.